UGCCAGCCGCCGCGGUAACACGGGGGGCGCAUGCGUUAUUCGGAAUUAUUGGGCGUAAAGAGCAUGUAGGCGGAUGAAUUAGUCAGAGGUGAAAGCCCCGAGCUCAACCUGGGAACUGCAUUUGAGACUGUUUAACUAGAGUGUGGUAGAGGAGAGUGGAAUUUCAGGUGUAGCGGUGAAAUGCGUAGAGAUCUGAAGGAACACCAGUGGCGAAGGCGGCCUUCUGGACUGAUACUGACACUGAGGUGCGAAAGCGUGGGGAGCGAACAGGAUUAGAUA
This 279-nucleotide ribosomal RNA is filed under the name uncultured bacterium. Its description in RNAcentral is "partial 16S ribosomal RNA". It matches the Rfam family "Bacterial small subunit ribosomal RNA", at positions 506 to 784 of the family's 1533-position model. The record is from RNAcentral.